RNAcentral lists this unclassified non-coding RNA (213 nucleotides) under rhizosphere metagenome. RNAcentral describes it as "partial ribosomal RNA internal transcribed spacer region". The record is from RNAcentral.
GAGAUUCUUUCUGGAUUUAUCCAGAAAUCUCCCACCCUUUGUGUUUACCAAUCAAUUACUUUGGUGAAGCGCCUGUGUGGCAUUCGUGCUACAUAGCCAUCGGCUCGUAAGAGCGGAUGUGCCUUUGCCAAAGGACCACAACUCUUUAUUUUACAAUUGUCUGAGUUUAUAUUUUAAAUAAACAAAACUUUCAACAACGGAUCUCUUGGUUCU